CUGGCAGUGUCUUUCUCCGUUGACAUUCAGCAACUCUGAGAUCAUUAGAGUAUUAUUGUAAUUGUUUAUGAUAAGCUUCACAGUUAGAUUGUAGCUUGAUAUAGGUAUUGUAAGAUCAAUGAAGCUAUGAUCGACUGCUGAUAUGGCCUAGAUGUGUUGAUCAAACCUUUUGUCCAAUGUAUGUUAGUUCAAUCAAUAUCCACGUUACCCGCAAUAUAGUCAGUUCUGUCAGUGAGGAGCAAGUGGAAACCAUUCUAUUCUUCUUAAGUCUUCAAGCCUUCAUGUGAAAAAUUCAGCUUUCCUAAAUGGUAUCGGCAUCGGUUAAUUUUUGAGACUGGAAACACAGAAAGACACAAGGAAAAAAGAUAACAGAUUGUUCCUUCUGGUUCCAUCCAACUCUUCCCUGACACAAUUGCACUAAAAACGAGGAGAUGUUGAUAAGUAGCAACCAGAUUUAUUAAAGGAAAUUGAAGUAUUAGAUUUUGGUGGAUCUGUUGUGUUAAUUUGAUUAGUGAUAGGACAAGCUAUGUCAGAUUCAAAGAAGUAAAAUGACGAGCGUGGGUGUUAUGUUUAUCACGCUAGCUGUCGGUGUUUGUUGGUUAGAAAGUGUGAAAGCCCAGAAGGACAGAUGUGUUUCUGCUUAUUAUGACAGACAGCAUGCCGUCUCUUUCUUUGGAGAUCAUUCUGAUUGGAAAUAUGGUUUUCGGGAGGAAAUAAAUGAAGAAAGUGGUUACAGUAAAUCUCCUAAUAAACAGUGUGUUCGUGUGAGGGAUCGUAAACUAGAGAAUGAUGAUUCUAAUAAAGAUAUACAUCAAGACAAUAAAGAUAACCUCAACAAAAACAACAUUCAACAACAAAAAACACCCACAACAAAAUAUAAAGGUUCUAAACGCAAGAGAAAGAGAGAAAAACAAAAGAAAUUGAGAAGAAAGAAAAAUAACAAUCAUGUUAAAAAAAUAAAAACCGGAUGAAAUGUAUACCCUGUGGUAUUAGUGUAUGUAAAGAAGUCCCUGUGAUAGUGCAAGUUUUUGUUAGGAGAACACAGUCAGCUUGUUUCUGUGGUGUGAAGAAGAUAAAUGAGAAUAAUACAUUCAAAGAACAGAUGAAACCUUUGAUAACAGAUGGCAGAAGAAGAUAUUAUUUAAACAUCCAAAAUGGUAGCUAAGUAUAUGAUUGAAGAUUAAAUAAAUUCAUAUUUUUGCUUAAUAAUUUUACAGUUUAUAUUUGAUGUCAAGUUUCAAAAUGCCAGUGUAUUAUGUAGGCUGUACAUAUAGACAUUAUCAUUAUUUUUAUCAUACACAUCUGCCAAAGAAUCUUAAGACUGCCAGAUAUAUAUUUAUGAGGAUAGUCCAGAAGUUACUAAAUAAAUCUUCUCAUGUAACUGUAAAUAUUAAAAAUGUUAUUAUUCUUGUAGAAUGAUCUAGUUCUUGUCUUCCAAAAUGUUGAGUUAGUUAUCUCCCCUUACUUGUUAUUUUGCAUUAUCUGCAAGAUUUGAUGAUUGAUGACCUCAUAAAGUCAUCAUUAAUUUGAUGGUAUAUAUGUAUAUCAUUUAUGAUAUUUGUAACCGAAGAAGUAAGGAUGAACUUUGGGAUCAACUGUAUUACAUUCUAUGAUCUAUCUGACUCUCAGCUAUUUAUGAUCUAAUUAUGAUCACCAAGGGUCGUGCUUUCAAUCAGUGACAUUAUAAUUCUAAUGUUCCUUUGUAAUAGUUAUUAUAUAUAGAAGAUUGGUACAUGUAUUUUUAUAGAAACAUGGGAUCAUUCUUGUUAGAAAGGAUUACAUAUUUUUUGACCAAAUUUUAAUAUGGUUUCAGUAGAUAAAAGCCUUAAUGAACAGUACCAUGCCAGCUGGUCUUUUUUAUUUGUUAAUGAAUUUAGCAAACAUAAGUUGAAUAUUUUGUAGUGAAAUAUACAUACUUUUAGCCUUUUAACAUUGCCAAAUUAUUAUUUGUAUAAAAAAAACUUUUAUUUGUAUAUUUUAAUUUUAUUUACUAUUAUUUCAUAGUUAUUAUUAUGACAAAGAUGCAGGUAUCCUAUAUUUGAUGAUGCUAAUGCUAGUAAGAUAAUUGUGUGCAAAAGGUAGUAUAUUAUAGUCCUUCUCAUACUAUUGUUUAUUCUAUGUAAUCAUCAAUAAGCACUAAAAAAAAAAGGAGGUUUUGUUUUUUAUUUUAAAAAAAGUAUAGGUAAAUUGAAUUUAUCUGUUACUUUAACUUACUUUUUAUAUUGAAUGUAAUUUUCCUUAUAUUUUGUGAAGGAAUCAUGUUAUACUGAGUGUGCUUACUCUUCCAUGAAUGCCACUUCACUAUUGGCUAUUAUAAUUAUUAGAUAAUUUCUCAUAUAGGAAGAACAUUUAGCUCUCUUUGCCCUUUGUUUUCAGGACACUAUGUCUUUGGUAUCACCUUUAGCAUCUAUUAUGUACAGUAUUUGUAUGUUAUGUUAUGAACGACAUAAAAAAAAAACCCAGCGGUUGCCAGGCAAGAUAUAGCCACAUUUUGCAAGAGAUGGAUUGAGAACAAGCUGAAAAAAAAUAAGCGAUUUUUCGUACAAUCAGAGGCCAUAAUCCAGACAGUUAUCGAAAUGGACUGAGAUAUUUGGGAUAUAGAGAUACAUUUUAAGUUUCAUCAAAAUCGGAUAAAAAUUGUGACUUCCAGAGAGUCCACAACCUUGGCAUUACAUAUUUUUACAAUAUUUGCGUAUGAGGUGCGGCCAUUUUGUCUGCGAAUUUUCAUGAUGUAACGGUGAUAUAUUCAAACGUUUUUUUAAAUUGGAGAAAAAAUUGUGACCUCUGAGGGACCACAAGCUAAAAAUGUGGGCGUAUAAAAAUUAUUAAAUGAAUACAAAAUUUUCAGUAGCACAAAACUGACACAGAAGAGUGGUAAGUGAUAUCAGGUGUUUCUAUAAGAGUAAGCAUACUAUGCCUCAUGCAUGAUACCUGUCACAUGAGACCAAAUUAUCUUAAAAUCUAAAAUUUUCACUGUUUAUAAUUCAAGGGGUAAGAGUAUUCAGAAAAAUAUAAUUUUUUAUUUAUUCAGUCUCCUUGUAGUCUUUUGAACUUAAAUUUUGUAAUAGAAUAUAUAGAUUUAAUAAGAAUUUUUCUACAGUAGAGUUGUCAUGUAGAUGAAAUUCGGAUAAAAGAGUAAAUUUGUACAAUAUAUAUUAUAAAUUCUAUAUUUAUUAUUCAAAAUAUAUUUUAUUAGCGCAAUGUCUUAGUGGUAUAGAAUAUUUGUUAUCCCAGCUAUAGUCUAGUGUUCUGUUCAGUUCCCAAAACGUAUGGGUGUUUUUGCAAUUGCAAUUUGGUUUCAAAAGUAAUAGGCUGAUUGGUUAUUCAAUAAACCAGUCUGGACCAAAAGAGGAUUCUUCUCCAGCACACACUAUAUAUUGGUCUGUUCAAAGAAAGCACUAAUAUGUAUAAUUUCAUAAUGUUAUUUAUUACAAAUUUCCAGAAAUGAUAAUUUUAUGAAAGGUCUUAGUAUUUUUACACACUAAACGGUUCAGCCUACACAUAAUCACCCCAUCAACAAUAAACCACAUGUUAGAAAACUCACGUUUUUUUUACCAUACGAGUCAUGAAAUGGAACUCUGGAUUUAACAAUUUGUUUUGUCUCUUAUAGGCUUACUUAAAUACAUGUAUAUUGUGAAAGCUGGUAUUACCCAAAACUACUGUUUUAGCUACUAGUCAGAAUAUUAACUUUAAAUUGUAAAAAAUCUCAUCACAAACAUCUUCAUAUACCGGUACAGGGAUUAAAGAUGAUUCUGAUGUUCCAUUCAAGGAAUGCAUGAUAAAAUGGUCAGUAAUAUUAUAAUUUUAUGUCCAAGGGAAGCCUACUACUGUUAUUUUUUUAUUUUGCUUGUUAUUGUUAUGCUUAUUUCUAUUAUGUGAUAUAUAAUAAAUGUUAUAGAUCUAUAAAAAAUAUUUAUUUUGUAAAAUCAUGUUAUAUGUACCGUGUCAUUGAUUAAAUAAAUGAUAUGUUGUUAGA
Molecule: long non-coding RNA, 3976 nt
Organism: Patella vulgata (common limpet)
Lineage: Eukaryota; Metazoa; Mollusca; Gastropoda; Patellidae
Exons: 5
Source: RefSeq, a predicted model, not a curated record